AUGCACUGGCAGUCACUGAACUUGCGAAGAGGGCUCAUUUUGGUCACUGUACUUAGAAAUACGGCCAAUAUGGUCACCCAAUACAACAAGACGUGUUUGUACGGUCACUGUUGCUUGUUAUGUCAUGCAGAGGCCUGUGCCAAGAGUGAUUGCACAAGGACCUGUUCCAGAGUCAACAUUCCUUUCUGCUGCUCAGUUAUUGGUCAAUCAAAACCAAGGGAGCACAAGCACCAUUCAGCAAGGAGAGAUGGCCAAGAACUUACUUGCAUUAAAAAGCAGAGAGACAAAGAGUUAGAAGACAAGAAAAAUGCUAUACUUGCAGCAAGGAGAGAAGAACAGGAAAAGAAGGCUGAAGAAGCUGCCAGGAAGAGACAUCUUCAAGAGGAGAAGAAAACAGCAGAGGCAGAGAGGAAGAGACAGGCAGCUGCUCUGAACAGAGAGAAGAGGAAAGAAGAAGCAGCAAUAAAAAAGCAGGCUCAAGCAGAGACAAGGCAGAUUCUUUUGGAGGUUAAGAAAACUAUAGCUGCUGAGAACAAAGCAAAGAAGGAGGCUGAGAAGAAGGCUCAAAAAGAACAAGAAGCUGCCAAGAAGCUAGCAGAGAAAGAGGCUGCUGCAACAAAAAGAAGAGCAGAUAAGAAAGCAGAGAAGGAGGCUACCGCAACACAAAGAAAGGAAGAAAUGAGGCUGAUAUCUAUUGCAAUGGGUAAAAGCCAGGAUGAUUCACAGAACCAAGAAGAUGGUCAGCCAAGGAAGGCCAGCAGAACAUCCAUGUUUGAUAUCUUUAGGUGA
This 789-nucleotide ribosomal RNA is filed under the name Triticum aestivum (bread wheat). RNAcentral describes it as "partial small subunit ribosomal RNA". Lineage: Eukaryota; Viridiplantae; Streptophyta; Magnoliopsida; Poales; Poaceae. The record is from RNAcentral.